GACGAACGCUGGCGGCGUGCCUAAUACAUGCAAGUCGAACGAGAGCGACCGGUGCUUGCACUGGUCAAUCUAGUGGCGAACGGGUGAGUAACACGUGGGUAACCUGCCCAUCAGAGGGGGAUAACAUCCGGAAACGGAUGCUAAAACCGCAUAGGUCUUCGAACCGCAUGGUUUGAAGAGGAAAAGAGGCGCAAGCUUCUGCUGAUGGAUGGACCCGCGUUGCAUUAGCUAGUUGGUGAGGGAACGGCUCACCAAGGCCGUGAUGCAUAGCCGACCUGAGAGGGUGAUCGGCCACAUUGCGACUGAGACACGGCCCAAACUCCUACGGGAGGCAGCAGUAGGGAAUCUUCCGCAAUGGACGCAAGUCUGACGGAGCAACGCCGCGUGAGUGAAGAAGGUUUUCGGAUCGUAAAACUCUGUUGUUAGAGAAGAACAAGUGCUAGAGUAACUGUUAGCGCCUUGACGGUAUCUAACCAGAAAGCCACGGCUAACUACGUG
RNAcentral lists this ribosomal RNA (498 nucleotides) under uncultured bacterium. Its description in RNAcentral is "partial 16S ribosomal RNA". It matches the Rfam family "Bacterial small subunit ribosomal RNA", at positions 28 to 507 of the family's 1533-position model. The record is from RNAcentral.